GAGAGGAAGAGACCUCUGUGGAUAAUUUGGCUCAUGGUUAAAACCUCCUGAAUUUCUGGAUCAGAAAUAAGUUUAAAUCACCAGAUCCAGUUAUUUUGGAAAGGGAGAGACCUCUGUGAAUAAUUCGGCUCCUGGUAAAAACCUCCUGAACAUCUGGAUCUUAUGUUAUCGGAGAAAAAAGUUCACAACACAAAGACCCCUGAGCGCUGGCCAGCCCACCCUGCAGAUGGCCGGAGGAUCAGAGGCUGUCAGCACGCUUAAACGAGCCAAGAGUCGAGGCUUCAGCCCUGCGGGGGAGGACAGAGCAUGAAUGGGGUAUUUCCACCAACCUCUAUAGCCCCCCACUGGGCAUUUGUAAAAUGAUUUGUGGCAAAUUUGUUUAAUCAAUAUGGAUGUGGGGGUUUGGAUACCCUCCUCGGACACAGGUCUUUCUCUGACCUCUUUUUUUUUUCCUUCCCCUGCCUGUAAGUGCAUCAUGAUGUAUUAGGUAAGCUCAGGGUUAAGUCAGGUUUUUGUUUGUAUGUGUGUGAGUACAAAACCAAGUGGAUGCAUACCCGGGAGGAAAGUUAGUGAUGAGGAGAGGGCUCGCCAAACAGCACAGGGAUUCAAACAAGUAAUGCAAGUUUGGACACUUCAUAACAAAGACCUCUUUACAAUGUGUAUUGCAUGUGUGUGUCCUUGAAGAGGAAUAACUCCUUUUGAUCUUUCUGAUGUAUUUUUUGUCUCCAUUAAAAGUUUUUUGGGAGUUUUCCUCUGAACCGAGGGUCUUGAGAUAAAGGCUGUCAUGUGCUCCGCUUGUUUUGAAGCCCUUUAAUUUGCAUCUUGGGCUAAACAAUUAAAAUUGACUUUAAAAUCUAUGAUGUUCUCUUUUUGGGUACUUGAUGUCACGUUUCUCUGUGUAAUAUCACCAGCCUUCCAGGAUGUAAAAGCCGAGACACACCAAACUGACUGACUAAUCACUAGUGGUGAUGUUGGCCUAAGACCAACCGUCAAGGGGUUGAAAUCCUUUUCUCCCUCCAGGCAAGGAAACCCUUGAUUUUGGCAACCGCUUUACAUUUAUUGGAUGACAGUGAUGUGCUUUUUAU
This is a long non-coding RNA of Epinephelus fuscoguttatus (brown-marbled grouper), 1085 nucleotides long. RefSeq lists it as uncharacterized. The record is from RefSeq and is a predicted model, not a curated record. Lineage: Eukaryota; Metazoa; Chordata; Actinopteri; Perciformes; Serranidae. The transcript is spliced from 3 exons.